GGGUAUUGUUCCUUUGGAUUACUCUCAGACUGAUUAAGCAUCUCUCCUUCCUCCUUCCUACUGAUUAUAAGUACUUAUUGAUCGACUUAAAUUUUUAGUUCAGCUAAUGAUUGCAUAGAGGAGUGAAGGAGCUGAUUGGUGCUUUCAAUCCAAUCUAAUGCUUGCAGAACCUUCUCUUCAAAUGAUGGGCUAUAGAUAGUUGGAAAAGGUUAAUAUUGUAAAUAGAACAAGUCGUAAUAGGAUGCUUCUAUAAAUGUAGAUCCUUGUAUUGUCGGGGUACCCACUGAGUGUGAGUUCUAAAAAAAAUUUGGUUGAACCCUCCAAUCUGGAUUGUGGUCGUUAAAGAAUAGAUUGUUUUUUGGUUCG
RNAcentral lists this long non-coding RNA (366 nucleotides) under Elaeis guineensis (African oil palm). RNAcentral's name for it is "long non-coding RNA (EGUI_LNC023334)". The record is from RNAcentral. Lineage: Eukaryota; Viridiplantae; Streptophyta; Magnoliopsida; Arecales; Arecaceae.